GAAACGUUUGAUUUGGAACAGCGAGCUUGAGUAUUACAUUGUGAUGUCGAAUGGGAAGCAGCGGGUUGAGUCGGAGACGAAGAAACUGAAGCUUGAAGGAUACCAGGCUGACCUUGCCCAUAUUCCGGAGCUUCUGAUCACAGAGCUGGCGGUUGAUACGAAGAAUAUAGGACGCGCAGACGGUUAUGAAUUUAUUGAGAUUUUUAAUACGACUGACAGAACGAUUGAUUUUAAAGACUACCAUAUCCGUUACCGCUACCCAAAAGAAGGGCCUGACUCCGAUCUGAUUUGGAGACCUGAUGAAAGGAUCUUGAUACCAUCCGGCGAAACGUUUGUCGUCUGGCUGAAGCCUGCCGGGCAUCCAGAAUUGACGUCAGCGGAUUUCAAUCGUUAUUAUCAGACACAACUAAAAGAAGGAAAAAAUCUUGCGGUGAUAGACGAGACAGAGGGUAUGGCCAAUACGAGGCCGCGGGCCGUUGUGAUAUCAACGAAUACAGGAAAGGACAUUUCGGUUGCGCAUUAUCGGAAACAUGCGCUGCGUCGGCUGUCAUCAGUGCUUUAUAAGUAUCCACUGAACGGAACAGCAGAACUUCUGAACAUUUCAAUCGGGGAAAAGAAUCCGUCUCCCGGAACCGUAUUACAGGCACAGGUGCCCGACCAGAAACGGAAAAUCAAGCUCGAUAAAGAAAAGCCGGUUAUUGAGGAUUUGACUGACCGCAAGCCUGUCCGCCCUGCUGAAAGCAUUGAGCUGCGGGCUGACAUACGGGACCGAAGUCUAGUGAAAACAGCUGCCUUUUACUACCGGACGGAUGAGAACAAACCGUUUAAGCGAAUUCUUGCUGAAAAAGACCGUAACGAUAAUCUCUACCAUUAUAUUGUGUAUUCGCCUGAAUUGAUCGGGAAGGAUCAACUAGAGUAUUAUGUGGCGGCCGGGGACGGGAUCAAUGAAGCGAGAACGCCGGUCAAAAUGAUUGAUAUUAAACAAACAAGCAAGGCGCACGGUCUGCGGUUGAAUAUUGAAAACAGAGACACGCUGUCGGGAACUCAAUUUCUCAAAGCCACGACAGAAGGGCGAGCUGACCGCAUUAAGCUAUGGAUUGACGGGAGAAAACAAGUGACAGAGCCCGCGAUGGAAAAAGAAGUAUAUUUUGCAUUCGAUACGAGGAAAACGAACCUUUAUUUUAAAAACGCGGUAACGAUGGAAGGCAAAGUGCUGAAGGUGUUCGAUGAUACAACAAAUAAAUACCGCACCUAUUCUGUUCCAUUGCCAGAGACACUGCUUCGGAAAGGGAAGCAGCUGCAGCGUAUUACGAUACGUUCAGGUUCGAAGGUGUCUCCGUUUGAUACUGCUGAAAACCGUGAUGACUUCUUAGUCAAAAACGCCCGAUUGGUGUUAUCAGAUGGAACGGUGAUCAGGGAUCAGAGGGUGUCCCCUGAGAAGGAACUCUUUAUUGGCGAUAAUCAGCGCUCAAAUAAAAGCUGGCAAUUUCAGUUCAAUCUGCCUGACGGACUAUUUACAUCACAGCUGCUGGAGUGGGAUACAUCAAAGCUUUCUGAAGGCGCUCACCAUAUUCAAGCAAGCGACGGGAAGGAAAAUGUCAGCCUGGUUGUACGGGUAGAUAAUUCAGGACCUCACAUUGAGCCGAAUAUCACCGAGGGGCAAACGUAUAAAGGAAACCUUAUCCUGCAGGCGGAUAUGUAUGAUAAAUGGAGCAGAAUUGAGGAAGCGGAGGCGUCGUUAGAUGGAGAAAGCAUUACACUCCCAUAUCAUACGUCAUCUUCUGACCUUUUGCCGGGAAAACAUUCUCUAAAAGUGACAGCAACGGAUCUCGCGGGCAAUAAAACAGUGAUUGAGAGGAUAUUUAAAACCGAACGAGAGCAUCCGGACCAGCCGGAGGUUAUAGACAGCGAAGCCGACACGCAUAAGGCCAAGAUUUCUGUACGGGUGAAAGAUCCGACGAAUGAUGCCAUGGAUGUUGGUUUUUAUAGGGGAUUUCAAUAUACAGCGCGCAAUCAUGUGAAAAUAUUUAAGCACGCGUCACUGACUGAACCGCCGAAAAGCUUUGUGCCGGAAAGGGAGACCCCAUUUACGAAUAAAGAAUUGGAGCGGGUAUCAGCUGCUGAUGGAAAAACAGUAUCGACAGAAAACAAAGAGCUUUUCCCUUAUCAUCGCUUUGAAGUGACGGUUGAUCCAUCAAUUGAUGAGAAUGAUCUGGCAGAAGCAGUCUGGAAGGGCAGUUCUUUGCCGGGGAGAAAGGUGACGAUGUAUGCUUGGAAUUAUCGGACAAACGAAUGGCAGCCUGUUGACAGCUUCGUAGCGAAGGAUGACAAACCGUUUACGCUGAAAGCGUCUGUGAUUGCCGCCGAUUUUGUACGGGAGUCGAAAAUGAAUGUGAUUGUACAGGAUGAAAUUCCUCCUGCGAAGGAUAUGUACACAUUUGUCUGGAUGUCUGAUACACAGUAUUACGCCGAAAGCUAUCCGCAUAUUUUUGAUAAACAGACCGAAUGGAUAAAAGAUAAUCAAAAGCAGCUCAAUAUCAAAUAUGUGUUCCACACGGGUGAUAUUGUAGAUGAUUCCGCCGAUAUCAGACAGUGGAAAAACGCUGAUCGGUCAAUGUCCGUUCUGGAUAAGAGCGGAAUUCCUUACGGCGUGCUGGCCGGCAAUCACGAUGUCGGACAUAAGGACGGCUCCUACAGGGCGUUUGGCAAAUAUUUUGGCAGCGAUCGUUUUGAUAAAAAAUUGCAUUAUGGCGGUUCCUAUAAAAAUAACCGCGGACAUUAUGACCUGAUUUCUAGCAACGGCAAUGAUUAUAUCAUGCUGUACAUGGGAUGGGGCAUUACGGAUGAAGACAUCGCGUGGAUGAAUCAGGUGCUGAAGAAACACCCUGACCGGAUGGCCAUUUUAGCUUUUCAUGAGUAUUUGCUGGU
RNAcentral lists this ribosomal RNA (2928 nucleotides) under Bacillus subtilis subsp. subtilis str. BSP1. RNAcentral's name for it is "23S ribosomal RNA". Lineage: Bacteria; Bacillati; Bacillota; Bacilli; Caryophanales; Bacillaceae. The record is from RNAcentral.